GUAGCAGGAAGUGCUUGCACUUUGCUGACGAGUGGCGGACGGGUGAGUAAUACUUAGGAACAUGCCUUUGUGUGGGGGAUAACCAUUGGAAACGAUGGCUAAUACCGCAUAAUGUCUUUGGACCAAAGAGGGCUUUCGGGCUCUCGCGCAAAGAGUGGCCUAAGUGAGAUUAGCUUGUUGGUGAGGUAAAGGCUCACCAAGGCGACGAUCUCUAGCUGUUCUGAGAGGAAGAUCAGCCACACUGGGACUGAGACACGGCCCAGACUCCUACGGGAGGCAGCAGUGGGGAAUAUUGCACAAUGGGGGCAACCCUGAUGCAGCCAUGCCGCGUGUGUGAAGAAGGCCUUCGGGUUGUAAAGCACUUUCAGUUGUGAGGAAAGGUUGGUGGUUAAUACCCAUCAGCUGUGACGUUAGCAACAGAAGAAGCACCGGCUAACUCCGUGCCAGCAGCCGCGGUAAUACGGAGGGUGCGAGCGUUAAUCGGAAUUACUGGGCGUAAAGCGCACGCAGGCGGUUUGUUAAGCUAGAUGUGAAAGCCCCGGGCUCAACCUGGGACGGUCAUUUAGAACUGGCAGACUAGAGUCUUGGAGAGGGGAGUGGAAUUCCAGGUGUAGCG
This 616-nucleotide ribosomal RNA is filed under the name uncultured bacterium. Its description in RNAcentral is "bacterial SSU rRNA". It matches the Rfam family "Bacterial small subunit ribosomal RNA", at positions 69 to 680 of the family's 1533-position model. The record is from RNAcentral.